AAACAUAUGCUUUUAAUCUCCUUUGAGUCAUCAAAGAGUUUGAAACAACACUCCUGAGAGCCUGGGGACAGGAGCGAUGCUGUGCCACCAUGAAAUCUGACAUUUUGCUAAGGAGUUGAAAUUUUGGAUAAUCACCUCCAAAGGUAAGAAUGAGUAACAGUGGGAUGUUGAUGAAAGGAGCUUAGCCCAGUACAGACAUCCCAGACAUCCCUACAAGGGCCACCACAGAUGCACCUGGGAUCCAACCCUUACAGACCCACCAACAUCACCAUUUCUGGUGUCACCCAGCAUCAUCAACCCCACCUGGCUGCCAUGGCCAGGGCCAGCCCACAGCAGCCACAGGGCCCAUGGGAGCAGCCAGAGAGGAAGCACAGAUCCUGCAGGGGGUGAGCACAACAGAUGUCUCAGCUUCUCAUUCUGAUGGUCUUCAGCUCAUCUUGCCGCUGGCUUGGAGUGCCCACGUGCAGGAGAACCAUCCUCAUCCUCCUCCAGCUUUCUCCCUGGUCAUGGAAUACACACACUUCCAGCUGAAGGAAGCCCAAGCUAAAAUAACAUGUGGGAGAGAGAUGCACUCAGAAAAGACAGACUUUAGUUUUAUUCCUCUGCUCACACUGCAAAAUACAGCAUCCAACAAAUCUGCAAGCAAAUCUGGAUUUGUGACUUAUGUAGGCCAUUAAUAUUUAAUGCAAGCAGCAUCUCCUCUUCUGCAGCCAUUCUGAAAAUUGCCAAAAUACAGAGAGAGAAAGCAGCCAGGCAUUGCCAUGGAGUUUUUCCCAAGAUCACCUUGUACUGCCGCAAUAAAUUCCUAUGGAAUCUUCUGGAGAUCA
This 827-nucleotide long non-coding RNA is filed under the name Junco hyemalis (dark-eyed junco). RNAcentral's name for it is "lncRNA (ENSJHYG00000004707.1)". The record is from RNAcentral. Lineage: Eukaryota; Metazoa; Chordata; Aves; Passeriformes; Passerellidae.